This 77-nucleotide transfer RNA is filed under the name Schistocerca americana (American grasshopper). RNAcentral's name for it is "tRNA-Glu". It matches the Rfam family "tRNA". Rfam says of the family: Transfer RNA (tRNA) molecules are approximately 80 nucleotides in length. Their secondary structure includes four short double-helical elements and three loops (D, anti-codon, and T loops). The record is from RNAcentral. RNAcentral also lists the same sequence under 2 other names. Lineage: Eukaryota; Metazoa; Arthropoda; Insecta; Orthoptera; Acrididae.
GCCGCAUCCGUGUGGUCUAGUGGCUAGGAUACCUGGCUUUCACCCAGGAGGCCCGGGUUCGAUUCCCGGUACCGGAA